UGUUUUGUAGCCCCUGGCUUCUUUCUAUAUGAUUUAUGUGGGGGGAAAACAUGUGUCUCUGUCGCUCAAGUCAUACUCUUAAAGUUUCUUUCAAGCUGCUACAAUUAUAACUUGUGACAGGAAGUAGAGAAGGGUGAGUCCAAGUGGCAGAAACUUGUAUUAACGUGUGAGAUGUAUGAUGCUCUCUAGGCAGGCGAUCUCUACCUGUCGGUGUUUGUAAUAAUAUGAAGCUUUUGUGACUAAGUAUAUAUGGUAUCGUUUUCGCUUUUAUUUCACUGCUCACUGACUUUUUAUACUAAGAUGCUUUGUUCUGCUCACCUCACUGUUUGGCUUCAUUACUGUCUGUGUACUUGUGCUUUAAAUAAAACUCUAGCUUUGUGUCCCUGUGGUCGAUUCCAUCGUCUAUACAAUGUUUGCCUCUUAGGUAGUGAGAUUUUCUUUUGGUUUUUAUAUUUGUUGGAACAGCCUAAAAUUUAUGGAAAUAAGCAGUCCAAUAAAUUCAGUCAGUGCAUGUUGACGGCAUCUCCAGUGAGGGCCUGUUCGCUCACACUGUCUUUUUGGUAUUUGGGCAUGACAACCAGUUUUCAAUUAAUAAAUUAUUUUCUGCAAA
RNAcentral lists this long non-coding RNA (610 nucleotides) under Rattus norvegicus (Norway rat). RNAcentral describes it as "long non-coding RNA NONRATT022306". The record is from RNAcentral. Lineage: Eukaryota; Metazoa; Chordata; Mammalia; Rodentia; Muridae.